This 460-nucleotide ribosomal RNA is filed under the name uncultured bacterium. RNAcentral's name for it is "partial 16S ribosomal RNA". It matches the Rfam family "Bacterial small subunit ribosomal RNA", at positions 338 to 795 of the family's 1533-position model. The record is from RNAcentral.
CCUACGGGUGGCUGCAGUGAGGAAUAUUGGUCAAUGGGCGGGAGCCUGAACCAGCCAAGCCGCGUGAGGGAAGAAGGUACAGCGUAUCGUAAACCUCUUUUGUCAGGGAGCAAUUGGCGCUACGUGUAGCGUUAUCGAGAGUACCUGAAGAAAAAGCAUCGGCUAACUCCGUGCCAGCAGCCGCGGUAAUACGGAGGAUGCGAGCGUUAUCCGGAUUUAUUGGGUUUAAAGGGUGCGUAGGCGGAAUGCCAAGUCAGCGGUAAAAUCGCGGGGCUCAACCUCGCUCCGCCGUUGAAACUGGCGUUCUUGAGUGGGCGAGAAGUAUGCGGAAUGCGUGGUGUAGCGGUGAAAUGCAUAGAUAUCACGCAGAACUCCGAUUGCGAAGGCAGCAUACCGGCGCCCAACUGACGCUGAAGCACGAAAGCGUGGGUAUCGAACAGGAUUAGAUACCCCAGUAGUC